CGGUGAUCCAGGUGGCGGGGCUGGUGCAGCGGCAGGGCGAGCGCGAGCCCUUCGUGCGGGUCAUCUUCACGCUGGGCACCUGCGCCCCCAUCCCCGGCUCCCAGGUGCUCUGCUGUGACACCGAGAAGGAGCUGCUCGAGGCGUUCGCCGAGUUCGUCCGCGUCGUCGACCCCGACAUCGUCACCGGCUACAACAUCCAGAACUUCGACCUGCCCUA
Molecule: long non-coding RNA, 217 nt
Organism: Nothoprocta perdicaria
Lineage: Eukaryota; Metazoa; Chordata; Aves; Tinamiformes; Tinamidae
Exons: 2
Source: RefSeq, a predicted model, not a curated record